CAGUCGCCACGGUAAUACGGAGGGUGCAAGCGUUAAUCGGAUUUACUGGGCGUAAAGCGUGCGUAGGCGGCUUCUUAAGUCGGAUGUGAAAUCCCUGAGCUUAACUUAGGAAUUGCAUUCGAUACUGGGAAGCUAGAGUAUGGGAGAGGAUGGUAGAAUUCCAGGUGUAGCGGUGAAAUGCGUAGAGAUCUGGAGGAAUACCGGUGGCGAAGGCGGCCCCCUGGACAAAGACUGACGCUCAGGUGCGAAAGCGUGGGGAGCAAACAGGAUUAGAUACCCCUGUAGUCCCUGUCUCUUAUAC
RNAcentral lists this ribosomal RNA (301 nucleotides) under uncultured bacterium. Its description in RNAcentral is "partial 16S ribosomal RNA". It matches the Rfam family "Bacterial small subunit ribosomal RNA", at positions 509 to 807 of the family's 1533-position model. The record is from RNAcentral.